Molecule: unclassified non-coding RNA, 263 nt
Filed under: plant metagenome
Description: partial contains small subunit ribosomal RNA, internal transcribed spacer 1, and 5.8S ribosomal RNA
Source: RNAcentral
UUUCCGUAGGUGAGCCUGCGGAAGGAUCAUUAUUGUAUAACCGAGGUGCGAGGGCUGUCGCUGACCCGAAAGGUCGUGCACGCCCGAGUGCCCUCACACACAUCCAUCUCACCCCUGUGUGCACCACCGCGUGGGUCCCCCUUUGGCUUGUUCGGAGGGGGGCUUACGUUUUCACACAAACUUUGUAUGCAGUGUAGAAUGUAUUUUUUGUUUUUGCGAUCACGCAAUCAAUACAACUUUCAACAACGGAUCUCUUGGCUCUC